Molecule: non-coding RNA, 253 nt
Filed under: uncultured bacterium
Lineage: Bacteria
Also listed under: 1 other name
Description: partial 16S ribosomal RNA
Rfam family: Bacterial small subunit ribosomal RNA
Source: RNAcentral
UACGUAGGGUCCGAGCGUUGUCCGGAAUUACUGGGCGUAAAGAGCUCGUAGGUGGUUUGUCGCGUUGUUCGUGAAAACUCACAACUCAAUUGUGGGCGUGCGGGCGAUACGGGCAGACUGGAGUACUGCAGGGGAGACUGGAAUUCCUGGUGUAGCGGUGGAAUGCGCAGAUAUCAGGAGGAACACCGGUGGCGAAGGCGGGUCUCUGGGCAGUAACUGACGCUGAGGAGCGAAAGCGUGGGGAGCGAACAGG